This 401-nucleotide unclassified non-coding RNA is filed under the name soil metagenome. RNAcentral's name for it is "partial contains 5.8S ribosomal RNA, internal transcribed spacer 2, and large subunit ribosomal RNA". The stretch from base 1 to 121 matches the Rfam family "5.8S ribosomal RNA", at positions 35 to 154 of the family's 154-position model. The record is from RNAcentral.
GAUGAAGAACGCAGCGAAAUGCGAUAAGUAAUGUGAAUUGCAGAAUUCAGUGAAUCAUCGAAUCUUUGAACGCACCUUGCGCCCUUUGGCUAUUCCGAAGGGCAUGCCUGUUUGAGUAUCGUGAACACCUCAACUCUCAUGGUUUGCCAUGAUGAGCUUGGACUUUGGGGGUUUUGCUGGCCUUUGGUCGGCUCCUCUCAAACGGAUCAGCUUUCCAGUGUUUGGUGGCGUCACGGGUGUGAUAACUAUCUACGCCUGUGGUUUUCUGCCAGAUAACCUUCAGCGAUGGAGGUUCGCUGGGGCUCAUAAAUGUCUCUCUUCAGUGGAGACAGCUUUUUGGACGUUUGAUCUCAAAUCAGGUAGGACUACCCGCUGAACUUAAGCAUACAAUAAGCGGAGGA